Molecule: unclassified non-coding RNA, 227 nt
Filed under: Hevea brasiliensis (rubber tree)
Lineage: Eukaryota; Viridiplantae; Streptophyta; Magnoliopsida; Malpighiales; Euphorbiaceae
Source: RNAcentral
UCAAGAAGGGAUUUUUCCACCUAAGAUAUUCAAAUUAGCAUGCAAAUCAAGAUAAGGUGUAUGCACAUCAGAGGCACAUUAAUAUAUACUAAAAUACAAGUAUGUCAAAUAUUUAGACAGUCCUCUUGCAUCUUCUUGAAUAGAUAAUAUGUAACAGAUCAAUACACUGGCAAAUAUCAACUAUCAAUACUGAACCAUACAAUAUGUUAUGAUUCAGAAUUACCCUG